UCUAGCCUACGUCACAGCGUCACGUGCGCUUUUUACGGCCAACACGGAAACUGCAGUCGUGGUGCUUUCGAUUGUACUCGAAACUCAGGAAUUCUGCCUUCCGAGUAGGAAGAUGUAGGUAACUCCAGACUGCAGAUGAGCUGCAUAUGUGUUUAAUAGUAAUUUGUUUUUGUAGAGGGCUGGCAAAACAACCGUUUUCGAGGGCGUCGCCAUAUUGGAAUCCCGACUUGUCUGACGAGGCUAACCGGAGCGCCUUUUACUCGAGUGACACAAGAAGUCCUCGUGGGACAGAACCAGUGUGAAAACUACAGAAGGUGAUCUGAGCAGGAGGAGGCCAGGAAAGAUUACAUGUGUCCUUAAAACUGCCCAGCAGGCUGUUUUGAUGAUAGACGACUCACCUUGAUUGAGAUAGAAGUUGCUGAUGGUGACCAGGUGACCUGCAGCGAGGAAGAGGAGGAAAGUUUGUCCAGAAGCUUUUCCUGAGGAGUCAGCGUCUGUCUCUGCACUGGACGACAGAGACAGAAAGGUCACGACCUACUUCGCUUACUGAGGACCUCGGCGAGGACCGAGGACGUCGUGCUGCUGUCUGAGACGGAAACCGAAAUGAAAGCGACGCCCGACCUGAAACACAAAAACACAGCCACGAGUCGCCUCCGUCCUUCAGCGAAUUCCUGUUGUCCGGGCCGCCGUUGCGGUUCAGGAUGUCGUCGCUGUGCAGACGCUGCAGGCCGCCGAUUUCGUGCAGCUCGAAGUCCUGAGGGUCGUCGGGGAGGUAGAAGGCCCUCAGCGCCGCCUCCUGAAGGACAACACAGGUUUUUGGGAGGAAGCAGAGCCCUCACCACCACUUCCUCAUUCUUCGUGAUUGAGACCAGUCGGAAGAAACCGCGCUUCACUGCAUCGUCGCCAUCAAACACCUUGAGAUUCUGUUUACCUGUAGGUCACAGUAAA
Molecule: long non-coding RNA, 948 nt
Organism: Oreochromis niloticus (Nile tilapia)
Lineage: Eukaryota; Metazoa; Chordata; Actinopteri; Cichliformes; Cichlidae
Exons: 6
Source: RefSeq, a predicted model, not a curated record